Long non-coding RNA from Triticum aestivum (bread wheat), 1004 nucleotides. RefSeq lists it as uncharacterized. The transcript is spliced from 5 exons. NCBI's taxonomy places the organism in Eukaryota, Viridiplantae, Streptophyta, Magnoliopsida, Poales, Poaceae. The record is from RefSeq and is a predicted model, not a curated record.
CGAGCAGAUCUCGGGGAAGACAGGGCUCAACCUACUGCAGAGGAGCGAUGCCUUGUACUGGAAGACCAUGCUGGCUGUGGCGAAGCACUCCCUGAAGGUGCUGCUGCUCGUGAUGUCCAACCCCAUCUCCGUUUCCACCUACCUUGCCUAGAAGCUUUCAGUGUUGGGUUCCUGGUGAGCGGCGUCAUCAGUUCGAGCACCAACCACUUUGUAAUCCACAUGCAGCUUCUAGGUUCAGGCUUUGGGAUGAAGGAACAUAGCACAUCGUUGCUGAAUUUGGAGGUUUACUCAUCAACAAGGGAAGGGGAAACAAGCAGUACCAAAGCUGGGACAACUUUGAGAUGCGGGUGCACAAGAGGGUGAUCGACCUUGUCAGCUCCUUGGACGUUCUCAAGCAGAUCACCAUUGAGAGGUUGAGAUGACCAUUAAUAACGAGUAACUAUUGUGAAGGUAGUCAAGGACAUGCAGAUGUUGGUGAUGGGCUCUGUUAGGAUGCCCACGUAGGUGCUCAACAUCACCACCGGGAAGUCCCCCUGUGGCGCAAGGUGAGCUGGAAGUGGUGGUGCACCGCCUUGCUUAUGGCGCCAAUGAGAUGGCGGGGUUGUUGCCCCGUGACGUCGGCGUCAGCUCCCACGACUCCAUCACCAGCUAGCACUACGUGGGGCACCUGUGCACAAGGAUUCCUGGUUCCAGCUACUCGGGGCACUUGUGAACGUAUUGGAUUACUGGUGCGUUAUGCAAACAGCGGAUGAUCUGCUACUCCUAUAGAUGAGUAAGUUUUGUAGGAAGCAAACAAAAGGACUGCACCCACAAGGAACCGUGAGGCCAGCGAUCCGCGUCAACUGCAUGUUUUAGCUUUCAUUGUGUACAAAUAACAUCUCAGACUUGUAUCUUUUAGCUAUCUUUUUCUGAACAUGAUGCAUGGUGUCUUGGUGGAUAUCUUUAGAACAGACUGAAGUAUAUGUAUGUGACGAUUAGUUAAUGAAACAAAAAUGUUUGGUGCA